RNAcentral lists this ribosomal RNA (429 nucleotides) under Chloroflexota bacterium. Its description in RNAcentral is "Chloroflexi bacterium partial 16S ribosomal RNA". It matches the Rfam family "Bacterial small subunit ribosomal RNA", at positions 355 to 776 of the family's 1533-position model. The record is from RNAcentral. Lineage: Bacteria; Bacillati; Chloroflexota.
UGGGGAAUAUUGCACAAUGGGCGCAAGCCUGAUGCAGCCAUGCCGCGUGUAUGAAGAAGGCCUUCGGGUUGUAAAGUACUUUCAGUCAGGAGGAAGGUGGUAAGGUUAAUAACCUUAUCAAUUGACGUUACCGACAGAAGAAGCACCGGCUAACUCCGUGCCAGCAGCCGCGGUAAUACGGAGGGUGCAAGCGUUAAUCGGAAUUACUGGGCGUAAAGCGCACGCAGGCGGUUUGUUAAGUCAGAUGUGAAAUCCCCGGGCUCAACCUGGGAACUGCAUCUGAUACUGGCAAGCUUGAGUCUCGUAGAGGGGGGUAGAAUUCCAGGUGUAGCGGUGAAAUGCGUAGAGAUCUGGAGGAAUACCGGUGGCGAAGGCGGCCCCCUGGACGAAGACUGACGCUCAGGUGCGAAAGCGUGGGGAGCAAACAGG